GUUCAAAGGAAGAAAGGCUGACGGUGGAUACCUAGGCACCCAGAGACGAGGAAGGGUGUAGUCAGCGACGAAAUGCUUUGGGGAGUUGUAAAUAAGCGUUGAUCCGGAGGUCAACCUUUCAAAUUGCUACUGAGUCCAUGGGCAGACAAGAGACAACCUGGCGAACUGAAACAUCUUAGUAGCCUGAGGAAAAGAAAUCAAAAGGGAUUCCUGUAGUAGCGUCGAACGAAAUGGGAGCAGCCUAAACCAUGAAAACAGGGUUGUGGGAGAGCAAUACAAGCGUCGUGCUGCCAGGCGAAGCGGUGGAGUGUUGCAUCCUAGAUGGCGAGAGUCCAGUAGCCGAAAGCAUCACUAGCUUACGCUCUGA
This 367-nucleotide non-coding RNA is filed under the name Cucumis melo (muskmelon). Its description in RNAcentral is "Bacterial large subunit ribosomal RNA". It matches the Rfam family "Bacterial large subunit ribosomal RNA", at positions 1 to 406 of the family's 2925-position model. Lineage: Eukaryota; Viridiplantae; Streptophyta; Magnoliopsida; Cucurbitales; Cucurbitaceae. The record is from Rfam by way of RNAcentral.